GUUAUAUUGGCAGAUUAGUGCUAUAAAUUUAGAAUUUAUAAAUAUGGAAUAUUUUUCAUAUAUAAUA
RNAcentral lists this transfer RNA (67 nucleotides) under Pityogenes bidentatus. RNAcentral describes it as "tRNA-Leu". Lineage: Eukaryota; Metazoa; Arthropoda; Insecta; Coleoptera; Curculionidae. The record is from RNAcentral.